GCCGGUGUGGCGUCAUUGGUUUGAGUGCCGGACUAUGACUCUGGAGAUCAGAGUUCGAAUCCCGGCUCGGCCA
This is a non-coding RNA of Phrynosoma platyrhinos (Desert horned lizard), 73 nucleotides long. The record is from the annotation of a GenBank genome assembly. Lineage: Eukaryota; Metazoa; Chordata; Lepidosauria; Squamata; Phrynosomatidae.